Molecule: long non-coding RNA, 1089 nt
Filed under: Chrysemys picta bellii (western painted turtle)
Lineage: Eukaryota; Metazoa; Chordata; Testudines; Emydidae
Description: lncRNA (ENSCPBG00000026840.1)
Source: RNAcentral
UGUACAACUUGCAGCAUUUUCUCUGGUUUUGCACUCACACUAGAGCACUGCAGCCCAGAGGGCUUGCCAGUGACAUUAACUCAUAGUCCUCCCCCCUGCCGCCCAGCCACAACACCCCAGCCUGGAGCUGUCUGUGAGGUGCCAAGGCACGGGCAGGGCUGGAGAGCCAGGUUCUCUCCCAUUCACUUAGAGGACAAGUUUACAUUGUACCUUGUGAAUGAUUUUUCUCUGUCUCGCUUUUUCUUUUCUUUUUUUUUUCCUUGUUGGUUACCCUGAUUGUACCUCUGCAUCCCCCUCCCCCUCCACGUGAUGGGCCCGACAUGCGCAGCAGCGCCAGGGGAGCCAGAGGCACAUCUGCAGACUGACGUCAGUGUGCGCUCAGCCUCCCAGGCAAAGCUGCCAAAACUUCCCUCUGCUGCUGGAGCUCUAAACUUGGCUGCAGGCCGGCAGUGAGAAGAGACCUAGAGCUACUUCAACAAAACUUUCUUGAGUCCUCCCUGCCUGCUUUCUCUAUCUCCCUUUCUCUCUCUCACCCUCCAACUCUGAUGAGAUUCACAUGGUACUUUGCCCAGAAGAAGGUGGCCAAGAAGAGGGUACUCACCCCCACCCCAAAAUAAGUCUGUUUUCCUUCCUCCACCCCCCUCCCUUUUUUAACUUUUUCGGUUGGAAAGACAAAAUGUGCAGGGUGAUAGAUUGGGUGAAUUGAUGGCAUCCCUUUCUCUGCCAAGUCAGUCCGCUCUCUAAAAAUCCCUUUUGGGAAGACUGGAGGAUUUCACUUUGUUGGAGAAUAUAACUGGUGUGGCUUGAAAAAGGGGGAAAGCAGAGAGGAAUACGGGACUCGUACAGUGCUAUCUCUAUUGUUUGAAAUUUACUUUAUAUCAGAAAUUGAAGAUGAAAACGGUGCUGCCGCAAGACCUAAUACCGUCCGAGGACAGAUUUAGCCUGGAGAUGCUGUUGAGGAUGAACAGCUGCUGUGGGAGAAGUUUGAGCUUGGCGUGGUGGCUGAGCGGAGGCAGCUCCGCACUGUUGCCAGCGGCAGAGGCUGAGGGGAAGAGGAAGGACAUGGGCGGGGCUCUACCUAUCUCAUGA